Molecule: microRNA precursor, 99 nt
Filed under: Marmota monax (woodchuck)
Lineage: Eukaryota; Metazoa; Chordata; Mammalia; Rodentia; Sciuridae
Source: RNAcentral
AAUGGAAUUGCUGGGUCAUAUGGUUACUGCUUAUAUUUUUGAUAAACUGCCAAACUCUUUUGCACAGUAGCUGUACCAUUUCACACUCCUACCAGCAGC